GCCUGUUUUCAUGUUAAGGCUAUCACAUGCUGUGAGCAGGAAUCAGGAGUAACCAAGGAAGUGGGUGUGGACUUCCGCUGGUGGAAGUCGGGAGAGCGUUAAGAGACCAGCAGUGGAAAGGAUAAGCAGCUUCAGAUCCUGCUGAAGGGUCCCGGCCCGAAAUGUUGACUGUUUACUCUUUGCCAUAAAUGCCGCCUGGCCUGCUGAGUUCCUUCAGCAUCUUGUGUGUGUUGACUUGGAUUUCCAGCAUCUGCAGACCUUCUCUUGUUUGUGAGCAGCUUCAAGUUCCCGGGCAUCAACAUCUCGGGGAUUGAUCCUGGGCCCAGCGCGCUGACGCGAUCACGAAGAAGGCACACUGACAGCUCUAAUUUGUCCGUAGUUUGAGGCGAUUUGGUAUGUUACCCAAAAACCCUUUCAAAUUUCUACAGACGUAUGGUGGAGAGCGUUCUGACUGGCUGCUCCGCAGCUUGGUGUGGAUGUGCACAGGAUCACUACAGGCUGCAGACGGUUGUAGCUCCGCCAGCUCCAUCACAGGCAAAACCCUCCCCUCCACCGAGGACAUCUUCAAGAGGCAGUGACUCAAGACGGUGGCACCAUCACGAAGGACCCUCACCGUCCAGGACAUCCGGUGUCCUCAUUACAGCUUUCCAGGUAGCCAGUCAAAAUCCUUUCACCAUGGGGAAAAUGUGAAAUGCUGGGGGCAUGGCUUUCAGGGUUCUUUCAAAGACCCUGACCUGGAGUUACACGCUGACUUUGGUUCUUUGUGGGAAUGGGACCCGCUAUCAGGAUUUCACAACUGGUCAUUAUCCAACAUGCCAAGGGCUCGGCCUAAGAGCUCAGCUCGCCUUCGGAGGGCUGAGAUCUCAUGGCUCUGGAGACAGGCAAAUCAAAGGUCAAUGUCCGGGCAGGUCGUUGUGUCAUGAGAGAUGGAAGAUCUAAGACUGUUUGCCCAGAGACCUGAGAUCUUUGGGCACAGAGCUCGGAAAAAGUGACGCAACAGACUUUUAACAUCGUAAACCAGCGAGUUGUUUGUUAUGUCUCCCCUCUCUCUGUGAAACAGAGACACCUCUUUCUCCCUUAUUAGGGAGCCUGUGGUAUGUCGAAUGCCUGGUGAACUAGUAGUCUUUGGGGUAACUGCAAGUCUGUGUCUUUGCUGUUGCUUUGCUCACGUUUGGGUGCUCCGUGGCGGGUGCUGAUGCUUUCUUUUGCUGGUGGGGGGAGAAGGGAUUGUUGCUUGCUGCU
This is a long non-coding RNA of Mobula hypostoma (lesser devil ray), 1242 nucleotides long. RefSeq lists it as uncharacterized. Lineage: Eukaryota; Metazoa; Chordata; Chondrichthyes; Myliobatiformes; Myliobatidae. The record is from RefSeq and is a predicted model, not a curated record. The transcript is spliced from 3 exons.